RNAcentral lists this ribosomal RNA (424 nucleotides) under Staphylococcus aureus. RNAcentral's name for it is "partial 23S ribosomal RNA". It matches the Rfam family "Bacterial large subunit ribosomal RNA", at positions 1631 to 2054 of the family's 2925-position model. The record is from RNAcentral. Lineage: Bacteria; Bacillati; Bacillota; Bacilli; Caryophanales; Staphylococcaceae.
AAAAUAGGUGCCCGUACCGCAAACCGACACAGGUAGUCAAGAUGAGAAUUCUAAGGUGAGCGAGCGAACUCUCGUUAAGGAACUCGGCAAAAUGACCCCGUAACUUCGGGAGAAGGGGUGCUCUUUAGGGUUAACGCCCAGAAGAGCCGCAGUGAAUAGGCCCAAGCGACUGUUUAUCAAAAACACAGGUCUCUGCUAAACCGUAAGGUGAUGUAUAGGGGCUGACGCCUGCCCGGUGCUGGAAGGUUAAGAGGAGUGGUUAGCUUCUGCGAAGCUACGAAUCGAAGCCCCAGUAAACGGCGGCCGUAACUAUAACGGUCCUAAGGUAGCGAAAUUCCUUGUCGGGUAAGUUCCGACCCGCACGAAAGGCGUAACGAUUUGGGCACUGUCUCAACGAGAGACUCGGUGAAAUCAUAGUACCUGU